CUGACCACCCGAUCCCUUUAGUCGCCUCUUACGACAAGAUAGUCGCCUUUUAUGGCAAGCACAUGGGUUGCUGAAGACCUAUUCUACCCCGGAUCUUCACGGGUCUUUAAAUAAAAGUAACGAUAGUAAAUUGAAUACCAUUUAUUCUGCAAUGCGAAAGGGUACACUACAUAUAACCAGCAAGAUCAAAUGCUUUUGCGGUUUAGUUUGUGACUGAUAAGCACUCAUGUACAUGUACGUGGCUGGUGUAAUGACUCAUUGUGCCCAUAGAUUAUGUUGUUCUAUUGUUUCAAUGUUUAAAGAAAAGCAUAAGAAUGUAGCAUUUAGUAUUAUGUAACACACAUAUAUAUACGCUAUAUGAUGUAGUUAAAUCCUUGUAGGUACCAUAUUCUAUAGAAAACAUUACAGUUUCUGUGCACAAGUCCGAUUAAAUCAGUCUAAGGAUAUGUUUAUGCAUAGUGGUACUAUUAUCGACAACAAAAUGUUUGGAACUUUGCAUUGUUCAACAGAGCUACACGUUUAUGCUUAAAAGUGUUAACGAUGGAUCAUGAAUUAUAAAUGCUAAUGCAAACGAUUAGAACACAGACAAGAGCUGACUCCAAACAUCACAUGCAAGAGCUUUAAGUCUGUUACAACUUUCUAUAAUCCGCACGUGCCGCGCAGGAGUGUUUAUGAUACCUUAUUUUGAUAUUUUCUUAAAGGCUGAGGACCAUUCUGUUUGCCAGUCUGGUCGAUUGAGCUCAUAUAUUUGUGGUUUACACAAAUCAUAGUUUCAAAUGGCUAUUGUUAGUUUGUAUCAAAAGGGGUUAUGCACAUUAACUGAAACCCCGAGAACAAGUCGGGUUGGUUUUAAGUUAACACUCAUUACGUACCGCACGUGCAUUUGUUUCACUGUUCCAACUACUGCGCUUACCCCCUUGUGAUAGAAACCAACAAUAGCCAUUUGAAACUAUGAUUGUUUGUUUAACAACUGUUAUCCUGUUGAAUAAAAUUCUGAGAUUUACAUGUUCAACUGACUAGGUAAAAUUAUGAGGAUUCGCAAUCUUCAUUUCAUUUUACUUGAUUUACUUUUUGGGUACGUUUUCAUUACAAACAGACUAUAGUCCGGAAAACGUCUUGGCAAGAUAUAUAUGUCAGUGUCGUAACGUAUUUCGUUGCAUCUCACUGGCGGGGUCUAGCCAUUUUAUACCAAUUUGUGAAAGGUUGCAUCAGGAUAUUAAUGAUUGGAGCUGUUGAAAACAAUGAUACUUGGUGUAGUCAAAGUUCCCCGCUAGAUCCUUAGCAGGUUUUCUGAAAGAUUGAACGGAUACCUUCUGAAUUGACGAUUGACUGUAUUGUUGCCAUUAAGUUGUCGUCCUUGCCUGUCUGAAGAAAUUGCACAGUUUGUGUUAUUUGUAUACCUGUUGUGAAUACCAGGGUUCACCUGUACUCCAGGGUUCACCUGUACUCCAGUAUAUAUAAACAUAUAUAUAAUGAUAGCGAAAAUUAUGAAAACGUUUGCAAGUGUAUAAUAUCCUCAAGAAAUUUCAAUUUCAGUGCAUGAUACAUAUGUAUCAAAGACAUUAUCACACUGUCAGAUUUCAACAAAUAUAUUCAACUGACUGAAUGCUGACAAUAGAUAAUAUCUGCUUUAAAUGUAUGCCACAGCCUGUUGUUGCUUCAGACAAGUAAACAAUUCAAUAAUA
Molecule: long non-coding RNA, 1685 nt
Organism: Haliotis rubra (blacklip abalone)
Lineage: Eukaryota; Metazoa; Mollusca; Gastropoda; Lepetellida; Haliotidae
Exons: 2
Source: RefSeq, a predicted model, not a curated record